RNAcentral lists this ribosomal RNA (460 nucleotides) under uncultured bacterium. RNAcentral describes it as "partial 16S ribosomal RNA". It matches the Rfam family "Bacterial small subunit ribosomal RNA", at positions 338 to 795 of the family's 1533-position model. The record is from RNAcentral.
CCUACGGGAGGCUGCAGUGAGGAAUAUUGGUCAAUGGGCGGAAGCCUGAACCAGCCAAGUAGCGUGCAGGAUGACGGCCCUACGGGUUGUAAACUGCUUUUAUACGGGAAUAACGCGCCUUACGUGUAGGUCUUUGCAUGUACCGUAUGAAUAAGGACCGGCUAAUUCCGUGCCAGCAGCCGCGGUAAUACGGAAGGUCCGGGGGUUAUACGGAUUGAUUGGGUUUAAAGGGAGCGUAGGCCGCAUGUCAAGCGUGCUGUGAAAUGUCCGGGCUCAACCCGGGCCUUGCAGCGCGAACUGGCGUGCUUGAGUCCGCGGAAAGCAGGCGGAAUUCGUCGUGUAGCGGUGAAAUGCUUAGAUAUGACGAAGAACCCCGAUUGCGAAGGCACUUUGCUGCAGCGGAACUGACGCUGAUGCUCGAAAGCGCGGGUAUCGAACAGGAUUAGAUACCCGAGUAGUC